Molecule: long non-coding RNA, 417 nt
Organism: Oenanthe melanoleuca
Lineage: Eukaryota; Metazoa; Chordata; Aves; Passeriformes; Muscicapidae
Exons: 2
Source: RefSeq, a predicted model, not a curated record
CCCAUCUUUGAUCUGUCGCUCCUCUUUUCGAAUUCUUACAGCGUGAUAGCGGGGGACACUGUCUUCGUACCUGGAACGCCGGAAGAACCCGCACUGCGCAGAGAGGGAAAAGAACAGUUUAGGUCUAAGUUGCUGCCAAAGUCCUGCAACUGUAGAGGCAGUAAAUUCCUCCUUCACACAAAUAUGCAGUAAAACAACUGCUCCGCUGUGGUUCGCUCUUGGGGCACCAGACACAAAAGUCAUCUCAUCUUGGGAGACAAUUCCUUUACCAGAGUCCAAAGAGAAGCCUUAAACAGAGAAAGAAAUACAAAUUAACUAAGCAACAGCUUGCAUCUUAAUGUGAAAAAAUAAACAUUUCCCCUGCUAUAUUAAAGUGGUAUAUGGUAUAUGGAAUACAAGUUUUGUCUAAAACACAGA